This is a long non-coding RNA of Rosa chinensis, 949 nucleotides long. RefSeq lists it as uncharacterized. The record is from RefSeq and is a predicted model, not a curated record. Lineage: Eukaryota; Viridiplantae; Streptophyta; Magnoliopsida; Rosales; Rosaceae. The transcript has 3 exons.
UUGAGAAAGAGAGAAUAGGGAAGAAAAGGGUUCGAUUGAAAAGUUUAACUAAACUUUUAAACGCCUGUGUUUUGAGUGCUUCAUCAAUGGCGCUUUACCUGCUCUGAAGUAUAUGGCCGGAGUACGUACUCUCUGUACCUGACUCACGGCCGGUCUCGAUCAGGUUGGGCAGAGCACUGAGGCGGUUCAGGGCUCUGUUUCGGAUAUAAACCGAUUCAGGAAGGGGGUUUAGCUUAUAGCUUUUUGCACAUUUGACACAUCCGAUGAUGCCUUAAAGGCUUAAACCAAUGCAUCGAAGUCUCUCUAGGGGCUAUGAGUUAUGAACUGAGGAACUUUUUGGAACUUAACCUUCCAAAAGUUAAGGACGGUGAGUAGCUGAACCAAAGAUCAGGUCUCACAUUUUUUGAAGUCACCAAAAUUCCUUGCCAAAGUAAUCAGUCUGUUCAUGAGCUGCUUUGUGGAAUUCGGCCACAUUUUGACAGGUUUCUCAAGCACUUAAAGGUUUUAAUUACUCCAAAAAUUUCCUUAUAAAUGUCUAUUACACUGUCUUCAGCGAUGUUCUAAUUUUCAGUUUGUUGGUUUAAGAUAUAGAAAGACAAAUAUGAUCCUUUAAUUUCUGUUCUUUCAAUUUGUUGUUUAUUCUUCGCUUUUCUCACACUAGCUUAGCGACAUAGAGACAGCUCAUCGAGGUCUGGGAAAUAGUUUCAGCAGAGCCGCGGUCAAGUAUAAUAGUACUGACAAUAUGGUGAUUCAAGCAAUCGCCACUCACGAUAACCUUGAUAAGGAUGUCAAUAGCUUAUCCAUGAGAUUCCGAGAACGGUACUAAUGGCAUUUUCCUGAACUGAGGAAGAUUUUCAAUGACAAUUAUCUCUAUAUGAGAGUUGCAAAAUGUAUAGGAGACUAGCCAACUUUAUCUGAAACCAAACUUGCAGAAAUAACAGAAAUGAUU